GGCAUAUUUGAGUGGCUAAAUUCAGACACAAGUCAUGCUUCCAUCUCAGUAAAUGUAAUACAGUGGUGACAAUAAAACCUAUAAAAUUU
Molecule: small nucleolar RNA, 89 nt
Filed under: Fukomys damarensis (Damara mole-rat)
Lineage: Eukaryota; Metazoa; Chordata; Mammalia; Rodentia; Bathyergidae
Description: Small nucleolar RNA SNORA1 (ENSFDAG00000002937.1)
Source: RNAcentral